CCUACGGGAGGCUGCAGUGGGGAAUCUUGCACAAUGGAGGAAACUCUGAUGCAGCGACGCCGCGUGAGCGAUGAAGCCCUUCGGGGUGUAAAGCUCUUUCGACGGGAACGAUAAUGACGGUACCCGGAGAAGAAGCUGCGGCUAACUACGUGCCAGCAGCCGCGGUAAUACGUAGGCAGCGAGCGUUGUUCGGAAUUACUGGGCGUAAAGAGUGUGUAGGCGGUGCUCUAAGUUCGGUGUGAAAUCUCCUGGCUUAACUGGGAGGGUGCGCCGGAAACUGGGGUGCUCGAGCGUGGGAGAGGAAAGCGGAAUUCCUGGUGUAGCGGUGAAAUGCGUAGAUAUCAGGAGGAACACCUGUGGUGUAGACAGCUUUCUGGACCAUUGCUGACGCUGAGACACGAAAGCGUGGGUAGCAAACAGGAUUAGAUACCCCAGUAGUC
RNAcentral lists this ribosomal RNA (440 nucleotides) under uncultured bacterium. RNAcentral's name for it is "bacterial SSU rRNA". It matches the Rfam family "Bacterial small subunit ribosomal RNA", at positions 338 to 795 of the family's 1533-position model. The record is from RNAcentral.